CAGUAGCCGCGGUAAAACGAAGGGGGCUAGCGUUGUUCGGAUUUACUGGGCGUAAAGCGCACGUAGGCGGACUUUUAAGUCAGGGGUGAAAUCCCGGGGCUCAACCCCGGAACUGCCUUUGAUACUGGAAGUCUUGAGUAUGGUAGAGGUGAGUGGAAUUCCGAGUGUAGAGGUGAAAUUCGUAGAUAUUCGGAGGAACACCAGUGGCGAAGGCGGCUCACUGGACCAUUACUGACGCUGAGGUGCGAAAGCGUGGGGAGCAAACAGGAUUAGAUACCCCAGUAGUCCCUGUCUCUUAUAC
RNAcentral lists this ribosomal RNA (301 nucleotides) under uncultured bacterium. RNAcentral describes it as "partial 16S ribosomal RNA". It matches the Rfam family "Bacterial small subunit ribosomal RNA", at positions 509 to 807 of the family's 1533-position model. The record is from RNAcentral.